GACAGCCAAGGAUCUGUGUGGCUCGUGGGCGCCGGAUGUGUUUUCACUUCGCUUGGGAAAAAAAAUCGUUACAAUUCCUCUGAUUUGAGUGUCCGGUGAUGUUGGAGCUAUAGUUUUGGAAUGUGUAUCACUGAAAACUUCGCAGAACUUUAGGACAUCAAACGACUUUGACAAUAUGUCUAAGGAAUAAUUCUGCCGCACUAAUUAGUUGUGGGAUGUGAAGCGUUGGCCACUCAGCAGAUUUCACGAUAAUCCAGUGUGGUUCAAUGAUGGGAUUUGUUGAGCUGCGUUGACUCCAACCAGUCUUGGCAUGACUAAAUAGUGGAUUGAAGUGGCAGGAGUGUUGAAACGAUGCUUCACAUUCUCCUAUGCUGACGACCAGACUUCGAUCGGAAAUUAUUUUAAUGAGGCAAUGCAAAUAGCAAAAAAGGGACAAAUAACCAGUGCUCCGAUAUGAAAGAGAAUUUAAUGAGUGGCCAUUAGUUACGACUAAGCGUGCACAUUUGAUCUUGCAAGAAGAGCAAUCCAAUCAGUGAGAAAAGAUUCAUUAAAAUGCAUGGAAACUGAAGGGAGAAACAUGGGCGUUAUCAGCACCCUUCGGAAAGGUCGAAUCAUAAAUUGAAUAUAAUGCCUCGAGGAGUAACGGCGGUGCUUGAAUGACAAAACAGGUGAUAUUUUCCGAAGAUUAAAUACAGACGGAGCUAAUCGGAAGCCAGCGAGCUUUUGUCCGCGGUGUGGAAAGUGAAUUUUGCUGUGCUGCAAGAGGGAAAACGUGAAAGUAACAAGUGUAAAUUUACAAGUUCACGGAAAAAGCUGUUGCAAGAUUUGAAGCGCACCUUGAGGGUGGGCUUUUACUGUGUUGGUGUGGUAAGGAUUAUCCCGUCUGAUGUAAAUUUUUCGCGUGCGUUUCUUGAACAGAUUUCAGCGAUGGUGUACCCCGGAUGUAUGGAAGAUUAUUCCAAGACUUAUUUUAGAAGAAUGUACGAGUGCACAAGUAAAGUGAUUUUUUAAGAUGCUCAUUCAAACAAAAGGCACUCAUUUGGACCAUCAUAUAGAUUCAGCGGAAAACCAUAUCCAGCGCUAGAUCAAACCGGAGAGAAAACUCAAAACUGCAAACACCAUGAGUUGAUGGCAAAUUAAAAUACUCCACGACGAAACCAUCUUGCGGCUUUCCACCCGUAACUCGAGGCGAUUGAAACUUCAGUUAACGAAUAGCGCACAACGAUACCCGAACAAAGCACCGCAGUGAAAGCCGUAAACACCAGCGGAAUUUAACGGAAAUGGUCUUUAAGCGAAAAGCGGGAAAAAUACGACGACCUUCCCAUUCCGGCUUAAACAAAGUGAAGUUUUAUUCAGUGUGUUUUUUUAUUUAGCUGCAUGCUAACAAGCACAGGUGGGCUGAUUUUUUGCUAAAAGUGAAGAUUGAUACAAACUGAGAAAAACUGUGUAUUGUAACAACACAAGCGGUAGUGUUAAUGGUGGAUUUCAGAAGAUUUCGUACAAGGGAGGGCAUUUUGAUGUUUCGGUGAUUUAAGCAUCAAUCUGAUAGUGAAUAUGGUUUGAAUAACGUGAAAAAAGCUGCUGUUGAAUGGGGAUAAUUUGAAGAAUUUGUGUUAUAACAGAAAAUGACAUGAAAAUAGAAGUGAAACACAUGAACAGUAAACAGUGAGUGCUGUUAGGCUGAAACCAGUGAAAAAAUAAAGAAAAAAGAAAAAGAAAUGUAAUUGUAAUGAGUUUUCUAAGACACUGAUCAAGAUCAAGGAUACACUCUCUGCUGUGGAUUAAGGAUAAGGCUGUGUCAUUUCUCCAUGAACAUGCUUAGUACAAGAUCGCCUCUAAAGCAUAAAUUAACAACAACAUCGCCCAUUAAAGCCAUCUGGUGAACAAUCUACGCUUUAAUUAUGAAAAAAGCCAAGCAAUACCCUACCAUCCCUUUGCAUUAGCGCACCGUUUGCAAUAGCAAUAGAAAAUAAGCUAACAAGUGCAGCCAACCCAGAAAUAUCAUCCACCGUAAAUCCCAUAAUUUGCCUUUUCUACCGGAAGUGUUUCUUAGCGUGAGAGUGUGCAACAGUGACACCAAUGACCCAGUUAAACCAUGUCCCGGCUUUUGCGGAAGCGCCAACAUCGUAGCGAGCAACAAUUGAAACAAACGGCGGCGUAACUCAACAAAUACCGGUGGCACAGUGUACCAGCGCUCGUCGUGAACUAUCAUGGAAAAUGUCUACGCAAAAGAGCUCGCUGACGAAAGCUACGAAACAAGUGCCACAACAGAGGCAGACGUUAUGCCUCGGGGCAUCUGCAAGUCUGUCGGAGGAAUCAGGAUGCCCAACAGAUCUAGCAGCACUCACAGCGUCCGGAUACUGUCCCCAACGCCAGUGGCCUCACCCACCCCUUCUAUCAGGGGACGACAUCCACCGCCGACGUCUCCUUCGCUGGCCACCCUCCCGUUGGCGGAGGUAGCAGUUUCCACAAUCAGUCUCUCGAUGAAGGAACCCAGCAUCCAGCUUCAGCAGCAGCAACAGCAGGACGACAAUCAACAGCAGCACAAAGAGCUGCCACCGACAUCGAAAAAGCUACAAGGAAACAGUACAAACACCAGCACCACUAUCCCCAGGAAGCCGAAGGUGGACUUUGUGCGCUUUGACUCAACCGAGAUUCAUUACACGGAUCACGAUGAGGUGCGGACGAAAAUUUCGGACGAGAU
Long non-coding RNA from Aedes aegypti (yellow fever mosquito), 2704 nucleotides. RefSeq lists it as uncharacterized. The record is from RefSeq and is a predicted model, not a curated record. The transcript has 3 exons. NCBI's taxonomy places the organism in Eukaryota, Metazoa, Arthropoda, Insecta, Diptera, Culicidae.